AUUCCCCCAGUAGCGGCGAGCGAACGGGGAGCAGCCCAGAGCCUGAAUCAGUGUGUGUGUUAGUGGAAGCGUCUGGAAAGGCGCGCGAUACAGGGUGACAGCCCCGUACACAAAAAUGCACAUACUGUGAGCUCGAUGAGUAGGGCGGGACACGUGGUAUCCUGUCUGAAUAUGGGGGGACCAUCCUCCAAGGCUAAAUACUCCUGACUGACCGAUAGUGAACCAGUACCGUGAGGGAAAGGCGAAAAGAACCCCGGCGAGGGGAGUGAAAAAGAACCUGAAACCGUGUACGUACAAGCAGUGGGAGCCUCUUUAUGGGGUGACUGCGUACCUUUUGUAUAAUGGGUCAGCGACUUAUAUUCUGUAGCAAGGUUAACCGAAUAGGGGAGCCGAAGGGAAACCGAGUCUUAACUGGGCGUUAAGUUGCAGGGUAUAGACCCGAAACCCGGUGAUCUAGCCAUGGGCAGGUUGAAGGUUGGGUAACACUAACUGGAGGACCGAACCGACUAAUGUUGAAAAAUUAGCGGAUGACUUGUGGCUGGGGGUGAAAGGCCAAUCAAACCGGGAGAUAGCUGGUUCUCCCCGAAAGCUAUUUAGGUAGCGCCUCGUGAAUUCAUCUCCGGGGGUAGAGCACUGUUUCGGCAAGGGGGUCAUCCCGACUUACCAACCCGAUGCAAACUGCGAAUACCGGAGAAUGUUAUCACGGGAGACACACGGCGGGUGCUAACGUCCGUCGUGAAGAGGGAAACAACCCAGACCGCCAGCUAAGGUCCCAAAGUCAUGGUUAAGUGGGAAACGAUGUGGGAAGGCCCAGACAGCCAGGAUGUUGGCUUAGAAGCAGCCAUCAUUUAAAGAAAGCGUAAUAGCUCACUGGUCGAGUCGGCCUGCGCGGAAGAUGUAACGGGGCUAAACCAUGCACCGAAGCUGCGGCAGCGACACUAUGUGUUGUUGGGUAGGGGAGCGUUCUGUAAGCCUGUGAAGGUGUGCUGUGAGGUAUGCUGGAGGUAUCAGAAGUGCGAAUGCUGACAUAAGUAACGAUAAAGCGGGUGAAAAGCCCGCUCGCCGGAAGACCAAGGGUUCCUGUCCAACGUUAAUCGGGGCAGGGUGAGUCGACCCCUAAGGCGAGGCCGAAAGGCGUAGUCGAUGGGAAACAGGUUAAUAUUCCUGUACUUGGUGUUACUGCGAAGGGGGGACGGAGAAGGCUAUGUUGGCCGGGCGACGGUUGUCCCGGUUUAAGCGUGUAGGCUGGUUUUCCAGGCAAAUCCGGAAAAUCAAGGCUGAGGCGUGAUGACGAGGCACUACGGUGCUGAAGCAACAAAUGCCCUGCUUCCAGGAAAAGCCUCUAAGCAUCAGGUAACAUCAAAUCGUACCCCAAACCGACACAGGUGGUCAGGUAGAGAAUACCAAGGCGCUUGAGAGAACUCGGGUGAAGGAACUAGGCAAAAUGGUGCCGUAACUUCGGGAGAAGGCACGCUGAUAUGUAGGUGAAGUCCCUUGCGGAUGGAGCUGAAAUCAGUCGAAGAUACCAGCUGGCUGCAACUGUUUAUUAAAAACACAGCACUGUGCAAACACGAAAGUGGACGUAUACGGUGUGACGCCUGCCCGGUGCCGGAAGGUUAAUUGAUGGGGUUAGCGGUAACGCGAAGCUCUUGAUCGAAGCCCCGGUAAACGGCGGCCGUAACUAUAACGGUCCUAAGGUAGCGAAAUUCCUUGUCGGGUAAGUUCCGACCUGCACGAAUGGCGUAAUGAUGGCCAGGCUGUCUCCACCCGAGACUCAGUGAAAUUGAACUCGCUGUGAAGAUGCAGUGUACCCGCGGCAAGACGGAAAGACCCCGUGAACCUUUACUAUAGCUUGACACUGAACAUUGAGCCUUGAUGUGUAGGAUAGGUGGGAGGCUUUGAAGUGUGGACGCCAGUCUGCAUGGAGCCGACCUUGAAAUACCACCCUUUAAUGUUUGAUGUUCUAACGUUGGCCCCUGAUCGGGGUUGCGGACAGUGUCUGGUGGGUAGUUUGACUGGGGCGGUCUCCUCCUAAAGAGUAACGGAGGAGCACGAAGGUUGGCUAAUCCUGGUCGGACAUCAGGAGGUUAGUGCAAUGGCAUAAGCCAGCUUGACUGCGAGCGUGACGGCGCGAGCAGGUGCGAAAGCAGGUCAUAGUGAUCCGGUGGUUCUGAAUGGAAGGGCCAUCGCUCAACGGAUAAAAGGUACUCCGGGGAUAACAGGCUGAUACCGCCCAAGAGUUCAUAUCGACGGCGGUGUUUGGCACCUCGAUGUCGGCUCAUCACAUCCUGGGGCUGAAGUAGGUCCCAAGGGUAUGGCUGUUCGCCAUUUAAAGUGGUACGCGAGCUGGGUUUAGAACGUCGUGAGACAGUUCGGUCCCUAUCUGCCGUGGGCGCUGGAGAACUGAGGGGGGCUGCUCCUAGUACGAGAGGACCGGAGUGGACGCAUCACUGGUGUUCGGGUUGUCAUGCCAAUGGCACUGCCCGGUAGCUAAAUGCGGAAGAGAUAAGUGCUGAAAGCAUCUAAGCACGAAACUUGCCCCGAGAUGAGUUCUCCCUGACCCUUUAAGGGUCCUGAAGGAACGUUGAAGACGACGACGUUGAUAGGCCGGGUGUGUAAGCGCAGCGAUGCGUUGAGCUAACCGGUACUAAUGAACCGUGAGGCUUAACCUUACAAC
Molecule: ribosomal RNA, 2677 nt
Filed under: Escherichia coli
Lineage: Bacteria; Pseudomonadati; Pseudomonadota; Gammaproteobacteria; Enterobacterales; Enterobacteriaceae
Description: partial 23S ribosomal RNA
Rfam family: Bacterial large subunit ribosomal RNA
Source: RNAcentral